RNAcentral lists this ribosomal RNA (253 nucleotides) under uncultured bacterium. Its description in RNAcentral is "partial 16S ribosomal RNA". It matches the Rfam family "Bacterial small subunit ribosomal RNA", at positions 524 to 776 of the family's 1533-position model. The record is from RNAcentral.
UACGAAGGUCCCAAGCGUUAUCCGGAUUUAUUGGGUUUAAAGGGUGCGUAGGCGGGUUGUUAAGUCAGUGGUGAAAGCUCCGAGCCCAACUCGGAAACUGCCAUUGAUACUGAUGAUCUUGAGUACAUUUGAGGUGGGCGGAAUGUGUCAUGUAGCGGUGAAAUGCUUAGAGAUGACACAGAACACCGAUUGCGAAGGCAGCUCACUAAACUGUAACUGACGCUGAGGCACGAAAGCGUGGGGAGCAAACAGG